UUUUUUAUAGGCUUAAUUAUAAGUAAAAUCUGCUCAAUGUCUAAUAUUGGUGCAUUCCCAUAUUAUAUAAAUAGCCGCAGACUCUGUGCUAAGGUAGCAUAAUCAUUAGUUUUUUAAUUAAAGACUAGAAUGAAUGAUUUAACAAUUUUAUAGCUUUUUUUGCUGCAUAAAUUUAAAUUAUACUAUAAAUUAAAAUAUUUAUAUAAAAAUAAAAGACGAAAAGACCCUAUUAAAUUUUACUUAAGUUAAGCUGGGGAAGCUAUUUAAUUAAUACUUUAAUAUUUCAUAACACCAAAAUAACCCCUAUUCAAUAGAAGACACCAAAUUACUAUAGGGAUAACAGCGUAAUUUAUUUCUAUAGAUCUUAUAAAAAAAAAAGAUUGCGACCUCGAUGUUGAAUUAAUUAAUCUAAUCCACGCAACAGUGAAUAAAGAAAGUCUGUUCGACUUUUAAAUAAUUACA
RNAcentral lists this ribosomal RNA (462 nucleotides) under Matilda australia. RNAcentral describes it as "partial 16S ribosomal RNA". The record is from RNAcentral. Lineage: Eukaryota; Metazoa; Arthropoda; Arachnida; Araneae; Cyatholipidae.